UGUGGCUGGGGGUGAAAGGCCAAUCAAACCGGGAGAUAGCUGGUUCUCCCCGAAAGCUAUUUAGGUAGCGCCUCGUGAAUUCAUCUCCGGGGGUAGAGCACUGUUUCGGCAAGGGGGUCAUCCCGACUUACCAACCCGAUGCAAACUGCGAAUACCGGAGAAUGUUAUCACGGGAGACACACGGCGGGUGCUAACGUCCGUCGUGAAGAGGGAAACAACCCAGACCGCCAGCUAAGGUCCCAAAGUCAUGGUUAAGUGGGAAACGAUGUGGGAAGGCCCAGACAGCCAGGAUGUUGGCUUAGAAGCAGCCAUCAUUUAAAGAAAGCGUAAUAGCUCACUGGUCGAGUCGGCCUGCGCGGAAGAUGUAACGGGGCUAAACCAUGCACCGAAGCUGCGGCAGCGACGCUUAUGCGUUGUUGGGUA
RNAcentral lists this ribosomal RNA (423 nucleotides) under Escherichia coli. RNAcentral describes it as "partial 23S ribosomal RNA". It matches the Rfam family "Bacterial large subunit ribosomal RNA", at positions 810 to 1230 of the family's 2925-position model. The record is from RNAcentral. Lineage: Bacteria; Pseudomonadati; Pseudomonadota; Gammaproteobacteria; Enterobacterales; Enterobacteriaceae.